GCGCUUGUGGCUCAACUGGAUAGAGCAACGGCCUUCUAAGCCGUAGGUUGCAGGUUCGAGUCCUGCCGGGCGCGCCA
RNAcentral lists this transfer RNA (77 nucleotides) under Magnetococcus marinus MC-1. RNAcentral's name for it is "tRNA-Arg (TCT) (tRNA-Arg-TCT-1-1)". It matches the Rfam family "tRNA". From Rfam's summary of the family: Transfer RNA (tRNA) molecules are approximately 80 nucleotides in length. Their secondary structure includes four short double-helical elements and three loops (D, anti-codon, and T loops). Further hydrogen bonds mediate the characteristic L-shaped molecular structure. tRNAs have two regions of fundamental functional importance: the anti-codon, which is responsible for specific mRNA codon recognition, and the 3' end, to which the tRNAs corresponding amino acid is attached (by aminoacyl-tRNA synthetases). tRNAs cope with the degeneracy of the genetic code in two manners: having more than one tRNA (with a specific anti-codon) for a particular amino acid; and 'wobble' base-pairing, i.e. permitting non-standard base-pairing at the 3rd anti-codon position. The record is from RNAcentral. Lineage: Bacteria; Pseudomonadati; Pseudomonadota; Magnetococcia; Magnetococcales; Magnetococcaceae. RNAcentral also lists the same sequence under 1 other name.